GACCUGACCACUGGCCCCUGACUACAUGGUCUUUGGAACCCGUGGCAUUGGAAGAUGUCAGAGACAUGGCACAUGGAUGUGAUCUUCAAAAACUGUUACAGCCUCAUCUCAUUGGAUUGGUCUACACAUCAAGGUGCUGGAAGUGUCGCGUGCCCAGAGAUGAUGUGGAAGCUGUAUACCCCUUUCCCUUCUGCCCACCUUGCCCUGUGCAUCUCUUCCUGAAUGGCUUUUCCUGAAU
Molecule: long non-coding RNA, 238 nt
Filed under: Pan troglodytes (chimpanzee)
Lineage: Eukaryota; Metazoa; Chordata; Mammalia; Primates; Hominidae
Description: long non-coding RNA NONPTRT017927
Source: RNAcentral